UUCCUCUCUGUAAAACUGCGUCUUGGUGGGGCGGUUGGGAAGACUCAGUGAGAGAAAGACUCUUAGCACAAUGGCAGGUACUGUGGGUUCUCUAUAAAUGGAAGUUUUUGCUAGUGUGAUGGCAGAUAUUAUUCUAGGUGAGUCAGCAAAUCCACAUUGUCAGGCAGAUUUACGCAAGGUAAUGUAAACAAGUGUCUUUUUUUUUUCUCAACAGCACCUCACAUGCAUUUGAGAGAGAGCCAUCUGUGACGGAGGGGGGCCUAGCACAGCAAACGUGGGUUCCCCCCGGGGCUCUUGCAGCCGCUCUGUGGCUCCAAGUCAGGAGACUCACACAACAGGAGCCCGGACCAGAGGCUUCCUGGGACCCACUGCAGGGCAAGUGAGGAGAAAAGCAGAAAUGCAGACUGUUUGGCUCUGAGCUCUUUGAUUACAAUCUCCGGCGUACACAUGUCCUGUUAUUAUCUAACAUAUCAUUUCCAACCCCAGCAACUUCUCCGAGUCAAAGAUAAACCUCUGAAUCUGUGUCUCCAUCAGACUGGAAAAUAGCGUACUGGGAUGGAGGAAACGCUGGAGAACAUCAGGUCCAACCCCUCACGGUGGAAAUGGGGAAACCGAGGCCAAGAGAGGCGAGGCUUGCACGCAUAACACUGUGAUUGCUGCAGUCAACACUAGAAAAGCCUGCAGCCUAGGCUGCCACCAGAAAAUCGUUUAAAAUAAUAAUGAUGACAGUGAUGAUGAUGACAAAUACUUAUAUUGGAGGGCCAACCAAAUUCCUAGUGCUUUGCUUUCCUUAUGGACACGUGACUUCCACAGCUGGUCAGGAUCUAUCUUGGCCUGACCUUUCAGUCCGGGUUAAGCCUACCUUGCAUGGACGCUUAGAAGUCCUUUCUGCCUUGGUGUCUUACUCUUAUUCCUUUCUACACUCUUUGUACUCCUCUCCCCACCGGGUCUCAGCACCAGUGAAGCCUGUCUGCCCUGGUCUCCGCCUUCAAAGUGAAUGUCUUCUUGUUCUUGCUGACACGGGUCUCCGCUCACGGAAGAGUUCUGAUGCGUCUUUUUGCCAGAAGAUCACCUCCUCCCGGAGAGUGAGGAAUUGGGCCACAACCAGGCCAUGCAGUAGACGAUUUGGGGGUGCCUGGUCCUCUCUUCCGAGAAGGCCUCUCUGCACCCACAGGGACCCAUGUUUUCAUUAUAACCCCCACCCACCCCAAACACAGUUGGCAGCAUGAGGAGAAGUCACUGGAACCAAGCUGGACGGACUAUCAGAAUUUGAAAUUAGAGUUUGGGACAUAACAAUUUUGAAUAAUUAACCAGGCCUGUGAGGACUGGUCAUCUCUGCAGGCUAAGGCCACCAUUCUGAAGUAGGCAUCAUCCGCAAAGAAACCCAGUGCGACCUUCGCUAAAUGUCUAGCUAGGUAGGUGUGGAGAAACUCAGAGCAGAGAAGGCUGGGCCGGCCAGGGGAGACUUGUGGAUCCGUGGGGCUUUUUGGGUGCAGACCUCUCCAGAAGCUAGCUUCAGAAAGGAUACGUGUUUAUUGAGCAUCGAAUGCCUUAUAGCAAGAUCCCAGAAGCAGAGCACAAGGCAGGAAUUUUGUGCCGAGGAUUAACUGAGUGCUCUCGGGAGAGCCUGGAGUACCCCCAGAACCCUAGGGCACAGAUGCAGCCGGGCCUCAGGGUCAGACCGGAAGCAGGACCUGAGUACUAAAGGAACCCCAGAAGGUGCCGGGACUCUCACCCCAGCUGUCUCUCUGUCUCACAUCAGACAAGCACUUCUGCUUUGAUCGGCAGGGAGCUGAAAUCUUUGUGUGUGACCUACAGGCUAACUUGGGCCAGAGGCCUACCUGUUAUCCAAUGGACUCUAGCCGGAGGGGCAGGGUCACACUGCACGGACCUGGCUGCUCGCACCGGAACUUACGGAUAGAGAGAAAAUGGGAGGGGACACCGGGCAAAGAAGACAAGCCUCGCUGUGCAGAAGGGGCAGUUGGCCUUGGAAGGAAGGAAAGCAGAAGGACGGAGGUGAAGAAUGGGAUGGCACCUUCUGCUAAGGACACAGAACAAGCACAGGUGUGCGGGUUGGAGGAAGACGGGCCUGGAAGGAGGGAAGGAGCGCGUUGUUGGCCCUGGCCUGGGCCCCUUCAGAGGUGCGCUAGAACCAGCUUGCAGAAGCGGCUAUUAAAUUUCCAGGAGUUUUUCUUUCCUUCCUUCUUUUUUUUUUUAAUUGUUGUUCAAGUACAGUUGUCUCCAUUCUCCCACCACCACUUUCCCCUGCCUCACCCAACCCCACCUCCCAUCCUCAAUCCUACCCCCCUUUGACUUUGUCCAUGGGUCUUUUAUACAUGUUCCUUUCAGGGAUUUUGACAGCUAGUUGUUAAACACAGCCUUCAACAAAAAUUAAUUUACAUGAACUUG
Phyllostomus hastatus (greater spear-nosed bat) is the source of this 2409-nucleotide long non-coding RNA. RefSeq lists it as uncharacterized. Lineage: Eukaryota; Metazoa; Chordata; Mammalia; Chiroptera; Phyllostomidae. The transcript is spliced from 2 exons. The record is from RefSeq and is a predicted model, not a curated record.